GACGUAGGGUGCGAGCGUUGUCCGGAUUUAUUGGGCGUAAAGAGCUCGUAGGCGGCUUGUUACGUCGGCUGUGAAACCCGCGGCUCAACCGCGGGCCUGCAGCCGAUACGGGCAGGCUAGAGUUCGGUAGGGGAGACUGGAAUUCUCGGUGUAGCGGUGAAAUGCGUAGAUAUCGAGAGGAACACCUGCGGCGAAGGCGGGUGCUGGGCUGACACUGACGCUGAUGCGCGAAAGCCAGGGGAGCGAACGGG
Molecule: ribosomal RNA, 251 nt
Filed under: uncultured bacterium
Lineage: Bacteria
Description: partial 16S ribosomal RNA
Rfam family: Bacterial small subunit ribosomal RNA
Source: RNAcentral